RNAcentral lists this long non-coding RNA (402 nucleotides) under Salvia miltiorrhiza (redroot sage). RNAcentral describes it as "long non-coding RNA (SMIL_LNC001821)". The record is from RNAcentral. Lineage: Eukaryota; Viridiplantae; Streptophyta; Magnoliopsida; Lamiales; Lamiaceae.
UGUAUUAAAAUGUAAAAUCCUAACUUCGCGUCAAAUAUGGAUUUUUGGCAAAAUUUGUGUAUUUAGGUGCAAUUUUCCCUUCUUUUUUCUAUAGUUUUUUUCUUUUAAUACUUGUAGUAUUUUUCUUUUUUCUAUAGUUUCUUUCUUUUAAUACUUGUAGUUUCUUUUAAGUAUGUAGUUUCUUUUUUCUUCUUCUUCUUUUUUCUUUUUCGUUUCAAGUUUUAAUUAUUUUUUUAUUUUAUUUAGUUUGAAAAAAUAGUAUCAUUAAUAAAUGAUAUUAAAAGUUUCGCUCUUUUUUUGUUCUAUAUUAAAGGUUUCAUUUAGUUUGAAAAAUAGUAUCAUUUGUUCUUUUUUUGUUCUAUAUUAAAGGUUUCAUUUAAUAAGAAAAAUAUUGUUUGAUAU